Molecule: unclassified non-coding RNA, 254 nt
Filed under: uncultured Acidimicrobiia bacterium
Lineage: Bacteria; Bacillati; Actinomycetota; Acidimicrobiia
Description: contains 16S-23S intergenic spacer region
Rfam family: Bacterial small subunit ribosomal RNA
Source: RNAcentral
CACGUAGGGGGCAAGCGUUGUCCGGAAUUACUGGGCGUAAAGAGCUCGUAGGCGGUUCAGUAAGUCAGAUGUGAAAACUCAUGGCUCAACCCUGAGACGCCAUCUGAUACUGCUGUGACUUGAGUCCGGUAGAGGAGCGUGGAAUUCCUGGUGUAGCGGUGAAAUGCGCAGAUAUCAGGAGGAACACCAACGGCGAAGGCAGCGCUCUGGGCCGGUACUGACGCUGAGGAGCGAAAGCGUGGGGAGCAAACAGG